RNAcentral lists this ribosomal RNA (482 nucleotides) under uncultured bacterium. Its description in RNAcentral is "partial 16S ribosomal RNA". It matches the Rfam family "Bacterial small subunit ribosomal RNA", at positions 28 to 507 of the family's 1533-position model. The record is from RNAcentral.
GACGAACGCUGGCGGCGUGCCUAACACAUGCAAGUCGAACGGAACUGUUUUGAAAGCUUUCUUCGGAAUGAAUUUGAUUUAGUUUAGUGGCGGACGGGUGAGUAACGCGUGAGUAACCUGCCUUCAAGAGGGGAAUAACAUUCUGAAAAGAAUGCUAAUGCCGCAUGACAUAUCGGAACCACAUGGUUUUGAUAUCAAAGAUUUUAUCGCUUGAAGAUGGACUCGCGUCCGAUUAGUUAGUUGGUGAGGUAACGGCUCACCAAGACCGCGAUCGGUAGCCGGACUGAGAGGUUGAACGGCCACAUUGGGACUGAGACACGGCCCAGACUCCUACGGGAGGCAGCAGUGGGGGAUAUUGCGCAAUGGGGGCAACCCUGACGCAGCAACGCCGCGUGAAGGAUGAAGGUUUUCGGAUUGUAAACUUCUUUUAUUAAGGACGAAAAAUGACGGUACUUAAUGAAUAAGCUCCGGCUAACUACGUG